GACGAACGCUGGCGGCGUGCCUAAUACAUGCAAGUCGAACGCUGAAGAGAGGAGCUUGCUCUUCUUGGAUGAGUUGCGAACGGGUGAGUAACGCGUAGGUAACCUGCCUUGUAGCGGGGGAUAACUAUUGGAAACGAUAGCUAAUACCGCAUAACAAUGGCUGACACAUGUCAUUUAUUUGAAAGGGGCAAUUGCUCCACUACAAGAUGGACCUGCGUUGUAUUAGCUAGUAGGUGAGGUAAUGGCUCACCUAGGCGACGAUACAUAGCCGACCUGAGAGGGUGGUCGGCCAACCUGGGACUGAGACACGGCCCAGACUCCUACGGGAAGCAGCAGUAGGGAAUCAUCGGCAAUGGGGGCAACCCUGACCGAGCAACGCCGCGUGAGGGAAGAAGGUUUUCGGAUCGUAAAGCUCUGUUGUAAGUCAAGAACGGGUGUGAGAGUGGAAAGUUCACACUGUGACGGUAGCUUACCAGAAAGGGACGGCUAACUACGUG
RNAcentral lists this ribosomal RNA (497 nucleotides) under uncultured bacterium. RNAcentral describes it as "partial 16S ribosomal RNA". It matches the Rfam family "Bacterial small subunit ribosomal RNA", at positions 28 to 507 of the family's 1533-position model. The record is from RNAcentral.